RNAcentral lists this long non-coding RNA (389 nucleotides) under Gossypium raimondii (Peruvian cotton). Its description in RNAcentral is "long non-coding RNA (GRAI_LNC002685)". The record is from RNAcentral. Lineage: Eukaryota; Viridiplantae; Streptophyta; Magnoliopsida; Malvales; Malvaceae.
GCGAGGGCAGGAAGCUGCUAGGGUUUACUGUUGUGUAUUCUGGUAUUGGGCCAUUUGGGCUAAGUUGGCUAUUAGGCUGGGGUGUAUUGGGGUAAUUUGGGUUAGGUUUAUAUUGUAUUGGGUUUGUAAAUGGACAUUUGGGCUAAACUUUAAGAUUUUUUUUCUUUUUUAUUUGGUUUAACAAAAUGGGCCGGGCAAAUUGGCCUAUUACAGUGGUCAUAACUAAUUCCUAUUUUAAGUUUCUAUUCAAUCAACUAGUCAUUACCCUAGUAGGAUAUCUCGAUAUUCCGCUAAACUAAUGAGUCAGCAAGAACUAUUUAUCUCUCAACCUCACAGUCUAAAUUGGUUUGGGGCUAAGGUAUUCAAAGAUAGGUCAUAGCAAUUUUCGG